UGUCGAUAAUGGCCUGGCUGU
RNAcentral lists this unclassified non-coding RNA (21 nucleotides) under Mus musculus (house mouse). RNAcentral describes it as "oocyte_clustered_small_RNA10517". The record is from RNAcentral. Lineage: Eukaryota; Metazoa; Chordata; Mammalia; Rodentia; Muridae.